Molecule: unclassified non-coding RNA, 2979 nt
Filed under: Sitophilus oryzae (rice weevil)
Lineage: Eukaryota; Metazoa; Arthropoda; Insecta; Coleoptera; Curculionidae
Description: dNA repair endonuclease XPF, transcript variant X2
Source: RNAcentral
GUACGCUUGCGUAGUAUCUGUGAUCAAAUGAUCAUGUGCAGCAAAUACGGGUUUCAAGGUCAGCCAUAAAACAACAAAACAACUGACUUUACCCAACCAACUCUUUAAAAUCUUUAAUUAUUUAUUUGUUUUUAACUUAAUUCAGAUUUAUUUACUUAUACCCUUGUCUAUACAGGCUUAUUCUAACUAGACACAUAAUUACGGAGCGUUUAAAAACUUAUUCUUAACAGAGUUCUUAAUCUAAAAUAUGAUGAGUGAAUCAAAGGAUAUAGAAGAUGCUAUACUGGAGAAUGCAAAUAAUGGAAACAUGUUAGAUUUUGAAGCUAAAAUAUUUCUAGAUAUUGUCCGCACUGAUGGUUUAGUCAUAGCAGCAAAAGGAGUUAAUCUAGAUUUGGUAAUUUUAAAUAUCUUAAAAGUUUACCAGGAUCCUGGAAAUUUGGUUAUUAUAUUAAAUUCAACUGAAUCUGAGCAACGAUUUUUUAAAGAAAAAUUAAAUUAUCAACAUAUUUAUAGCGAACACCAAAACGGUAAUGAACGAGAGGAAGAAUAUUUAUGUGGAGGUCUCCAUUUUCUAUCCACAAGAAUUUUAGUAGUUGAUUUAUUAAAGAAGCGUAUACCUACUGAUAAAAUUACUGGUAUGAUUGUGUUAAGGGCCCACAGAAUAUUUGAAAGCUGUAACGAGGCAUUUGCUUUAAGGUUGUACAGACAGAAUAAUCAGAGUGGUUUUGUUAAAGCAUUUUCUAAUAGUGCUCAAAGCUUUACUAUGGGAUUCUGUCAUGUCGAUAGAGUUAUGCGUGCUUUAUUUGUCAAUCAACUUUACAUUUGGCCUAGAUUCCAUCUCCUAAUAUGUGAUUGUUUGAAAAAAUAUCAACCACAGGUUAUUGAAUUGCAUAUACCUAUUACAGACCUGAUGAAAAAAAUACAAACUUAUAUAUUGGAGUUAAUGAAUUUAACAGUAAAAGAGUUAAAAAAACUUAAUCCUCCUUUAGAAAUGCAAGAUGUUACAGUAGAAAAUUGUAUAACUAAGAAUUUUCAUAAAAUAUUACAGGCAGAAUUGAAUAUGGUGUGGCAUCAACUUAGUAACAAAAGUUGUCAAUUGAUCGCAGAGUUAAAGACACUUCGGCAUUUGUUACUAUUGCUGUUCUAUACUGAUUCAGUUACUUUCUACUCCAAUUUAUUAGAAUAUAGAAAGCCCGAGUAUGCCAGAAACACACAAUGGGUUUUAAAUAAUUCUGCUGAACUUUUAUUUAAAGACUCUACUAAAUUAGUUUUUACUGAAGAUAGAGAAUUUAAUCCACAAUUUUGUCCUAAGUGGGAAGCCCUAAUGGAACUUUUAAAAGUGGAAAUACCUGCUGAAAUCAGUAGAUCCAAAAAUGAGAAUAAUACAAUAUUAAUUCUUUGUAGUAAUAACAGAACUUGUCAUCAACUUAAUAUGCUUUUAGGAAGUGGUCCUCAGCAUUACCUAGUAUUUUUGGCAUUGAAAAAUAAGAUACAAUUUAAACGUUUAAGUCAAGCGUUCAAGGAUUGUCAUAUGACGAUAGAAGAGACUAGAAAAGAAGACCAAUAUAAUGAGUUAAAUAAAAAUAUUCAGUACAAUGAUGAAAAUGCGUUUUCAAAAGAAGAAGACGAAAAUACCAAGUUUGAAAGCACAUAUAUAUUGACCAUGAAUGACCCUAUAAAGGAUUCCUCUACAGAUGCAUGUAAUGAUCAAAUAUUUACACCUGUUGCAGAUGGUGAUAGCAUAAACUUAAAAGAUAUUUCUAAAACUGUUUGUUCGCCCACAAUACUAAUUCAAACAUUUAAAGGAGGAGAGAAUUAUAUUAGCCUCCAGACUACAUUAGAAGCAUUGAACCCGAAUUUCCUAAUUAUGUAUCAUAGCAAUGUAACAGCAAUACGAGACAUCGAAAUGUAUGAAGCACACAAUAAAAACCCCGGAAAAUUAAAAACUUAUGUUCUCAUACAUGCAGGAACAGUCGAAGAACAAUCAUAUUUGACGUUACUGAGAAGGGAAAAAGAAGCAUUUGAAUUUUUAAUUCAAACAAAAGCUCAAAUGGUAAUUCCGUCUGAUCAAGAUGGUAAAAAUGCUCAAUGUAUUACUCUACAAAAACCACUAGAUAGUUCCGAAAAAAAUACACGUCAAGGAGGUCAAGUCACAGCGGUAGAAAAAUCUUUUGUUAUUGUUGAUAUGAGAGAAUUUCGAAGUGAUUUGCCAUCCCUGAUACAUAAAAGAGGAAUUGAUAUUGAACCAUUAACAAUUACGGUAGGGGACUAUAUUUUAACAAACGAUAUCUGCGUGGAAAGAAAAAGUAUAUCCGAUCUAAUUCAGUCAUUAAACUCUGGAAGAUUAUACCAACAAUGUACUCAAAUGCAAAGAUAUUAUUCUAAACCAAUGUUAUUAAUUGAAUUCGAACAGAAUGGGUCAUUUAGUUGGCAGAACCAGUAUAUGCUGUCUGAAGAUAGUAACAACUUUGAUAUACAACAAAAGUUGUUACUUCUGACAAUCCACUUUCCAAAGUUGAAAAUUAUAUGGAGCCCGAGCCCCUAUGCAACAGCUCAGUUAUUUGAAGAAUUAAAAAUACAGAUCAAUUUGUGGAGUAUUUCAGCAAGGAAAAGAAGAACCUACUAUUGAGAACGCAUUAGCUAUUGGCUGUGAUCAAGAUUUAGAUAUUAUUGAAACUAAAUAUAAUUCCAGUAUUUAUGAUUUUAUGCAGAAGUUGCCUGGCAUUACAACUAAAAACAUUCAUCAAAUAUUAAGAAAUGGAAUAAAUCUUGGAGAAAUUAUAAAACAGUCUGAGGGCGAUCUGGAUUGUUUAUUUAAUAACUCAAUAGAUGCACGUGCAUUUCAUUCAGCGCUUCAUCAAUCUUGUAUACCAGAAAAAAAUGACAGAAAAGAAGAAUUUAAACAAAAAAAAUCCAAUUUCGGCAGAGGUAAACUAAAGAGGAGCAGAAAUAUAUGAGAAAUCAACAGUAAUCAAAACA